Scatophagus argus is the source of this 7739-nucleotide RNA transcript. It is a transcript of the gene named zinc finger, FYVE domain containing 21, with no coding region annotated. The record is from RefSeq and is a predicted model, not a curated record. Lineage: Eukaryota; Metazoa; Chordata; Actinopteri; Scatophagidae. The transcript has 11 exons.
UGUGGACAGUGUAGAGAAACAGCUGCAAAAGCAAAAUGUCUUCAGUGCCUGAUGGAAAGAAACUCGUCCGAAGCCCCAGUGGUCUGCGGAUGGUGCCAGAAAACGGCGCCUUUAACAGCCCCUUCUCUCUGGACGAGCCGCAGUGGGUCCCGGAUAAAGAGUGCCCGAGAUGUAUGCAGUGCGACACCAAGUUCGACUUCAUCAGGAGAAAGCAUCACUGUCGGCGCUGUGGGCGGUGCUUCUGUGAUAAAUGCUGCAGUAAGAAGGUGGUGCUGCCCCGCAUGUGCUUCGUGGAUCCGGUGCGGCAGUGCGCCGAGUGCAGCCUGGUCUCCCAGAAGGAGAUGGAGUUCUACGACAAGCAGCUCAAAGUCCUUCUGGCAGGUGGAACCUUCGUCGUCACUUUGGGAACGUCAGACAAGUCAGAGACCAUGACGUGUCGCCUCUCCAACAACCACAGGUAUCUGUUCCUGGACGGCGAGAGUCACUUCGAGGUCGAGUUGUCUCGGAUCUCCAGCAUGCAGAUUUUGACGGACGGGAUGAGUCCAGGAGGAGGGACGUCGCGGGCCAGCGGCAUGCUGCUCCACUACAAGCCAAUGGGCUCCCAGGACAGCCAGCAGCUCCGCAUGGAGGCAGCAGAGGACAAGAAGGUGGCCUCGCUGUGGUUGGCUGCGAUGCACAAGGCAGCCAAACUGCUGUAUGAAUCCCGGGACCAGUGACGUGCAGGCAGCCUGUAAGACUGAACCCCCAGGCAGCACACACCCAAGUGUUUGGUACCCCGACUCACCGGGGUUUGGUAUCGUUUGGAUUUUAUUAACAGCAGUUUUUAUUCCGCUUAUCCAUCUGAUUCCUCAUUGAUUCCUGAUGCCAGUUCUUCUCAUGGUAACUUCUUCAAGAAAUGUUUAUAUAAGAAACACUUUAUUACCUCUAUAACCAGUACUUUGUACGUCACGUUUACCACCAGUAGGCUGAUUGUUCUUCUUUUACUUUUUUUUUCCAUCCAUCUUUCGUCUCUGAGUUCUUUAAUCCUGUUAAGUGUAGAAGAUAAAUCAGGGCUUGCUGCGUUAACGUUUCCACGGUGACACAGCAGGAGUAGAAGCUUUCCAACACGUGUUUUUAUCUGCUUUUAUCCGGAAGGUUUCUGCCUUUAAUUCCCGUUCUUUGUCUUUGUCAUAUUUGAGAUUUUGUUUUAAUCAUCCACACGAUCCUGUGAUACUCACAGUUUGUAUGUUCCCACAGAAGGCGAACGUUAAAACAUCCGUGAAACGUGACUUUCAGAAACCGUUUUUCCUAACGUCAGAGAUGCAGUAAAACUUCAGAGAGGAACAGUUUGUACAGCGACAACACAGUAAUUUUAUACGCUGCUGUUGAUUUUUUUUCUUUUUUUUAUGUGCGUGUCAACAAGGAUUUUCUUUCCUCGGAGAAUUGACGAGACGCUUCUGAAUCCCCGUGGGGACGUUGUAUUUGUCAUGUUGCUGACCGUCACAUAAACAGCACCAAGUAGGGACUGAAAGUCUCGCUCAGUGGACCUUCAGCAGGACGGAUGUUUGACGUGUGGAACCACUUUGAACCCGGGUCUUCCAGAUGAAGCAUCACGUCAUGCAGAUUAAAGGACACAUCCACCAUAAAAGUCUGUAAUGUGGAUAGAAAAGGAGCAAUAUGUGAUGUUCUUUGCAUUUCGGGAUGUUUGAGACGGUCGUCCACCGGUCACAGGGGUCACAGUUCAGUCUCCAGCUCCUCCUCUGCACAUGUUGAAGGGUCUUUGGACGGGACACUGAAACCCCGAACUGCUCCUGGACGUCUCGACUUAGCUUGUCGUCGCCUCUUUUCAACCAGAUUAGCUCUGGUUCUUGAUCGGCUUCGUUCGGGAUUCUUUAAACUUGUUGCUGUCCAGCCGUUGUGGUCAUGGAUGCAUCAUCGACGAAGGCCGUUACGCAGUGCACAACAACCUGUCCAACAGUAACCGUGCUGGGAACCAGCUUUUCUGGUUCCAUACUAAUUUAUUUUGGGGCCAAAUCUUCCCAACUGCUCAAAAUUCGGUGCUCAAACGGUGGAAGCAGUUCCACGUUGGUGGAAACGGAGUCCGUGUGGACUUGUCGGUGGGUUUUGCAGGGAGGAUUUCCUGGGACGUCUGUGUUUGCUGUUUUCUGUGGACUCCCAGCCGACUGUGAGCUGAGUGGACAUUUUGGUUCAGUAGUACACUCACAAGAGCUGAGGAAAGGCAUUGUGGGAAAUGUAUGAAGAGGCAGGUGGAGGACCAACUCCUGAAGUGCAAAGAACAUCACAGAUUUGUUCACACUUUAAACACUUUAAUUGACCUGCCGGUAGGACAGUUGGGGGUUUAGGUGACGUGUGUGUUAAUAAAUCUGCUCUGAGCUCCGAGUGUCCACAGACCUUCAGGCCUCGGCGUCUGAGGACACGACAGACUUUUCACUGAUUCUAGUGAAGCAUUAACAACACACACACACGUGCAUAAAUGCUUUAAAUGUAGUUUCAUGUAUUAAAGUUUUGUAUAAGCUAUUUUGUUAACUAUUCCUACUUUAUGUACUUGCAUAAUUUUCAAAGCUGAGGUGUGACUGUUUUUGUUUUUGGAACAUUUGUAAACAGUAAUUUCUUUUGUCCUUCCUCAAAGACCUGAACAGACUCUGCUUUUCCUUUUUUAUUUUGUCUUUAUUGUCCAGACGUGUGAAGUCGAGCUCCUGUUCUGUUCGGGUCGGUGGGUUCGUCACCUUUUCUAAACAAACAGUUGAGUUUUGACUGCGAUGGUGAAAGUGUUGAGUGCACGAAUGCAAACUCUACAGCCAAACUUACAAACCGAUCGACACCAACCGCUAAAGUCGACCGCGGUUCAGUUUGUGCCUUUUUAUGUCAUCAUUACAUCAGACUCACAGAGUUACUGAAUCACCUCUUUGACACCAUUUGUGGUCCACUGGCCAUUCAGUCCAUUUACAUUCUGUGUUACUCCUUUAAUGUCCGCCAUUCCAGUGCUGGAUUCCGGUAGCCUGCCGACAUGUAAAGGAUUUGCCGUAAAACAGCACAGCAUGUAAUCCAGCACAAAUCCAUUCAGACCAGCAGAAAGUUUUUAGCGGUUUUAUUUUUACUUUUUCAUGAAAGCAAACUGAACUCUGUGAGUCGAAUGUAAUGAGGCGCACUGGGCCGUUUGAAAGUCAGGUUUCACUUCCGAACAAUAAAAGACAUCCUAACAUUCAUUUUCCACCCGUGACCUUGUGAGACGAUUUUGAAGAUUUGGUCCCUCGUGUUGAGCUGCUUCUUCCGUAAAUCACAGGAUUGGUGGCAUUUAGGUUUUAUAUCAAAGUCGAGAUGUGCAUCUUAAAACACGUUUAUAAUUUAGCAUGAAGUGGAUUCGUGAAUUUGAGCAGGAAUGUAAAAUUGUAAGAAGUGUAAAACUCAACUCUGCUUCCUCUUUCUGGAGCUUUCAGUCACGACUCAAAUCCUUCAUUUGCUCGGUUGCCAUCACUGAAGUUGUGGGCUUUUGGUAAAAUGCGAGCAGGUCGUCGUGUAUGAGACGCACGCGUGAUGAUGAAAGCUCCAGAAACGGCGAGCGAGUGGAUCUCGAGCUGAGGAUCUUUUUGGCUUUUGCAUGCGUGACCUUUUAAAUCUGUCAGAACAGCAGAGCAAACGGAUUUUAAGUGCACAGUUGAAUUUCAGUUGCUAACAUUUUGUGCUAAACUUUAAAAAACUUCCUUGUGUCUUCCCCGUUUCUCUGAACAAAGAGCACAGAAGUGGCGGCCGUUCGGCCUUCGACCUUGUCGUGAUGAAAUGUGUGUCGUGUAACACUCAGCACUUCCGCUUUGUGACGUAAAGUUUUUUUUUUGUUUUUUUUUUACCUGCUGCUCACCUAAGAGUUAAAAUCACACGUAGCUGUCUGGUUUGAGGCUUUGGGAACAGAGAUGGAGGAAGAUGAGGUUUGGUGGAGGAGGACGUGUAGAUGUUCAUGUUGUCAGGGCGAUUUGAACAUGUGACAGCUGCACACUGACAAACACUAACCAUCAUGACGAGUGAUGUGCCUGUCAGGUACGUCAGCCCUUCAGGUGAAGUCUGAAACUCUUAGCUCGGUGCCUGAAGGCUCCGUCCUUCCAGCUCUGAGCCUGCAGUGCUUCCCAUGAAUCAGUUCAUGGCAGAAGAGGCCUGAUGAUCCUGUCGUUUCGCCGUGCAGCCUCCUCAGUCUGUCCUCGGUUGAGUUUUUCCUUCCUUCACCAAGUCACGUUUGUACCUGCACUUUACAUCCACCCUGAUUACAUCCCUUUUGUCCCUGUGCUUCGUUUUAUUACGCUGCAGAUACUACAGCCUUUGUUGGGUUAUUCUGCUGAGAAUAAAGUGUUUAUACAUUUGUGGUGUUGUCUGUGUCAUUUGUGUGUGACUUCAGCUGCACAAGAAAUACAAAUCGUGCCAUUAGUUCUCAUUAGUACUUCAUUUGCAGUACUUGAUUUACCUGCAGCCUGUGUAUACACCUGUUGUGCACAGGCUGCCUGUGGUUCCCCGUGUGGUGAAGCGGUGGACUGCUGAGAGCGAGGAGGCUCUGAGGGACCGCUUCAGCACUACUGCAGACUGGAUCACGGAUGACAUUAACUUCUGCUUUGAGAACACCGUACCCUCCAGAACAGAGUCUUCAGACCAGGGAACAAGGAGGAGCUGAGGAGGGAGAUCAGGGAGGGGAAGGCCAACUAAAGGAGGAAGAUGGAGGAGCAGCUGCAACGACAGAACGUCAGCGGGGUGAGGCGGAGCCUGAAGACCAUCUCAGGCUUCAAAGCACCCAACGUCCAGGCCGAGGGGGACCGACGAUGGGUGAAUGAUCUCAAUCUGCAUUUCCUAAGUUUUGAUCAAUCUCCCUCCCCUUCCCCCACACGGCUGCAUGCCUCCACCCUAACACCUGAACAAUCCCCCACUCCCUCAGCCCUUCACACCUCUGGCCCAGCCCAACUCUGCAUCACUUCACAGCUUCAGGCACUCAUUACGCCUAUCCUUAGCCAGCAGUGUGGGCUGUUGUUUAAGACUUCCUCCGUACAGUCACCCAGCCUCCCUGGUUUCCCGGCUGCUCGGUUAGCAGGAGCCACACUAGAUCGGUCUGCACCGGCUAAUGCAGGCUGGCUAACUACAGCAGCUAAUGACUUUGUUUCCACGGUGCGAAGCCGCGUUCCUGAUUCACUAAGCCUCGCCCCCAGCGCUGCAAAUAAACUACAUUUAUUACAUUUACCAUUUUCACUAGUGCUUUGCAGUCUGACAGGGCCUGACUGCAACGGACAAUCAGGGCUGAGGGAGGAUCAUUGGAGCUGACCUCCCCUCCACCCAGGACCUGUACAGGUCCAGGGUCAGCAAAAGGGCAACAAAGAUCUCUGCAGAUCCCUCACAUCCUGGUCACAAACUGUUUAAACUCCUUCCCUCUGGCAGGCGAUACAGGUCACCGUCCGCCAAAACCAGCCGGCACAAAGCAGUCACUGUGUUGAACACUCUGAAACAGGCCCCAUCCUUACACUGGACGAUGACAAUCACAAAUGUCAUCCUCAUCUACAUCACUAAUUUAACAGCACAGUACCAUUAUUAUCUGCCUAUUGCACAGCACUGCCUUGCACUGUAUUUAUUUAUUUAAAUCCUAGUCUACCUACACUGUCACUGCACUACUCCACAGAUUCACUGCUAUUGUAUAUAGUAUUUUUUAUCUUUAUCUUAUUGUAUAUAGUACCUUUGUGUUCUUACUGAUUGGAGUUUGUUUUUGUACUCGAGAGCAAAGUCUAACCAGAGUCAAAUUCCUUGUUUGUACACGCAAACUUGGCCAAUAAAGCUGAUUCUGAUUCACUAAAUGAGGCUGAGGAAUAACUAAACAUGAGACACACCCAGCAGGACAGCAAGGGGGGUCACAGAAGCUAUCGCUAAUAAACAGGCUAAGCUAGCGACCUUAACGAUCACAAGAUUAGCGUGGAAACCGCUAAAAGGAGUGCAUAACAGUUUGACUCGAACAGGCGUUUAAAAUAACAAUGAAAUUACUAGAUGUAGUGGACAGUAGAACAGCUUGAGCGAGGUUAAAUGAAAGAGCAGUGCAGAGCUGUUAGCAACAACAGGAAGUGACGUAGGACGCUUACUGUAGCCACGCCUCCACCUGUUGUCUGUGCAUAGUAUAUAGUUCAGGUGAAUGAAGCAGCAGCAGACAGCAAACCGUCCAGAAGUCAGCAUGGAUGUGAAGACAAACUGUGUGCUGCUCAGCCCAGAGGAGCAGCAGACAGCAAACCGUCCAGAAGUCAGCAUGGAUGUGAAGACAAACUGUGUGCUGCUCAGUUCAGAGGAGCAGCAGACAGCAAACCGUCCAGAAGUCAGCAUGGAUGUGAAGACAAACUGUGUGCUGCUCAGAAAGCGUCACAGACAAGACUCCUGUUCUUCUGUCGAGUCGUUUGAGAGCGAUCGCUCAAAAGGAAGCGUCCCUGAUUUCAAAAAAGAAUCCCUGUUCUCCUCCGAUGAAGAUAAAAAUGAAAAGGACGAGACGAGCCUCCUCGCCGCCCAGCCGUCUGAAGACAAAGAUGGGAUGAAGACGUCAUCGAGGCAGCAGCCAGCAGCUUCUGCUGCUUGUUGAUGACGUCCCGUCUGCUGUUACUUGCGCUCAUCCUGAUGCCGCAUCAGUUUUCUUUAGAAAAGUUCUGUUUUAAGCUUAGACAGUCACCUUUAAAGCAUUAAUGAUUUGUACUGUUGAGAGUUCAGUUUGUUACGCGUCUGCAUCAGCAGCUCCCUGAGGCGUAACAGAGCACGUAACAACAGGACCUCUCACUCUGCACAUCCUUAGCAGCUCUGGGCUAACAGCUAACCCUGGGACAGCUUAGACCCUUUUCAUGCAUACCUCAUUGUUAACCUAAGCUACAAGAUUCACACAACACUUUGAUUUUCAGAGGAUAACCUUCUAAACUUUGGGCUAACUCUGCUCUGGAGCGGGCCAGUGAGUUCUAUGCUAAAGGUUAGCCUGCUUUGGUAAGUGCUAACGUGAAAACUUCCUUACCCUGGGCUAACAGCCUCAUUAGCUUCAAGCUAAAGGGUACGAAGGUUGUUUUCACACCUGCACUUCAGUUCAUUUGGUUGAGAGCAAGAGAACAACGUGACACAUUACUCAAUUCUGCCGUUCGUUCGUUUUCUUUCACACCAAAAACUUCUCUAAGCUUUCGGUCACGGCUGCCCCUCAGCCGGUCAACACAGGAGUCGCUGCUCUUCCACUGCCUCCAUCGUUUAGCUUGAUUGUGUUAUUGUUUAAAGUGUGAAGUCACCAAAAUGACACCAUAACACAAAUAAGUUAAAUAUUUUUAUAGUACUAAUAUUUUAUAGUAAUUUUUCUAUAGUAGAGAAAUUCCACUGCUAUUUUUACUUCAUACUAAGCAGCUUUUUUCUUUCCUCUGUAUUCUUAUUUACUGUAUAUUUAAUUAAUAGUCAUUUUGAGUAUUGGGGAUGACUGUAGUGUUUUAAAAUUCUGCAGUAAAACAACUUCAAAAGGUUCACAGAGGGAGCGUAUUUGCAAACUGAGGUCCCUGCUGGCGCCCACCUGCUCUGCCGUUCACAGACGUGUAGAUUUCAGUGUUUAGGAGGUGCACCUGAACGCACCGUCACGUUCUGUCCACCUGCCCUCUGAGGUUUUGUGUUAAAUUUGUGAGCGGUGGGCGUCUUUUACCUCCUGGUCCUGUCAGAAAGGAGCUUGUUCCUUGGAUUGUGUUCGUCUUGCUAAUAAAACAGCAUAAUGCUGCUUAUCUAAA